UACGAGGGGGGCAAGCGUUGUUCGGAAUUAUUGGGCGUAAAGGGCGCGUAGGCGGCGCGGUAUGUCUCUUGUGAAAUCUCCAGGCUCAACUUGGAGUCUGCAAGGGAAACUGCCGUGCUUGAGUACUUAAGAGGAUCGCGGAAUUCCCGGUGUAGAGGUGAAAUUCGUAGAUAUCGGGAGGAACACCAGUGGCGAAGGCGGCGAUCUGGGAAGAUACUGACGCUGAGGUGCGAAAGCGUGGGGAGCAAACAGG
This 253-nucleotide ribosomal RNA is filed under the name uncultured bacterium. Its description in RNAcentral is "partial 16S ribosomal RNA". It matches the Rfam family "Bacterial small subunit ribosomal RNA", at positions 524 to 776 of the family's 1533-position model. The record is from RNAcentral.